Molecule: long non-coding RNA, 2210 nt
Filed under: Portunus trituberculatus (swimming crab)
Lineage: Eukaryota; Metazoa; Arthropoda; Malacostraca; Decapoda; Portunidae
Description: uncharacterized LOC123510411
Source: RNAcentral
ACUUGACCCUCGUUUAUGCGGAUUUCAGUUAAUCUGGAUAGUGUCCAGUCAAUGAUUUAACUAUGUGUCCAGAUGGCCAACAAAUUAAUUUGAAAAAUGCGCACCUCACACAUUUCCAGAAAUGGCUAAUAGAUGGUGACGGCGCUACGGUAGGUGGUUGUUAACAAGUCUGGCCAACGCUAGUGAACACUGUGUAUUGUCCUGUAUCAGUGAGAAAAUUUUGUGCAUUUUUCAGUACCUUGGAACUCUUAAAUUAUGUGUCCCAAAGGUCUUGAGGGGGUAAGUGAGUAGCCCUAGUGGUGACUUAAAAGAUGGAAUUGAUAAGAAAAUUAGAGAAAGAAGCUAGUUUUAUGUGUGUUUGUGAGGAAUAUGGUAUGGUCAAGCAAACAGUGUCGGGCAUUAGUAAAUCAAAAGAUAAGCUGGUAGAUUAUUCUGCCAAAUACUGUCAGGAUGCAUCUAGUAGUUUUCAGUGUCUCAAAAAUUCCUCCAUCAAUUCCUCCAUUUUUGAACUCAACACAACCUUCCAGACAACUAUCCCUUCUUCAAUGACACUCAACUAUGUCCCUCCUCCACACUGAAUAUCCUCGGUCUGUCCUUUAUUCAUAAUCGUAACUGGAAACUUCACAUCUCAUUUCUUGCUAAAACAGUUUCUAUGUAGUUAAACAUUCUGAGGUGUCUCCACCACUUUUCUCGCUCCUCCAACUGCUAACUCUGUACAAGAGCCUUAAGGCGCGGUCACACGAGCGUUUUUUCCCGCAACUUUACGCCAGCAACUACCAAAGUGACUGAAAGUUGUGUCUUUUGGCGAAACGAUCAUGUCCGUCUUAAAGUUGCAGCAACAUAAAAUCUUGGCUUCAAAUCCAGACGCCAAAACAUCACCUCAUAAUUUGUUUUGCUAUUUAAAUUUGAAAUAAGCAAAGAUUCAUCAAGCAAGAGCCCAAACAAGCAUGUAGAUAACGGCAAGUACCGAAUUCAAGACCAGCCACAGUCGUAACUAGACCUGUGAGGGUGCCAAAACAACAACAGAAGAGGUGACUCCCAGACUGGCAUCUUUACCAUGUUUUCUACUAAAAUACCUUGCUCUAGGGGCUCUGAAGCCUCUCUCCUAGAGCUAGUAAGAGAGAGAAGAUUUCUCUGGUGUCCCAGGGAUCUGCUCUACCAUAAAAACAAGUUGCGAGGUGAGGCAUUUGAGGAAAUCGCAGCUGCGCUAAGAGCAGAACAUCCUGAACUCUCAACACUUACAGGAGGUAAGAUUUCUUGCUCUUCACUACUUAAUACUUGAGUAUCAAUAAAAUUUUCACAAAACGGGCAAACACCACAUACAUGCUGAGUGGACAGGUUACAUACCCUACUUGACACUCUUAAAGAUUUCAUUAACCUAACCUUUCAGUAAAGCAAAAAAUUAACUGCCUUGUGUGUCUAACUUAACCUAAGCUAACCUAACUUAGUCAACCACUAAUCUAAAUCUUAUUAUUCAUUUGCGACAAGAUAAUAUGGGGUUACAAAUACUCCUGACAUUGUGACCUAUAUCCUGAGACACUUUAUAAUCAUGUGUGAUGUAUUGAUAGAAACGGCAAAUUUACCAAAUUUUGGAAUAAAUAAGUAAAUAUAUGCUAGUCAGCUACUUUGGGAUAGGUUAUGUUAGAUUAGGUUUUCAGCCCUGCAUUGUUAGUUAAGUCAAACUUGCACGGCUCGGUUAGUCAGUCCAGUAGGAUUAGGUUGGUCAGCUUCACAGAGGUAGAUUAAUUACACUUAGAAUAGGUAUAUACCUAAUUAGUUACCUAGUUGAGAAUACUUUUUUUUCUCAUUAUUGUGAUUUUUGGUUGGCAGAUAUUUCAAGUUCUUUGUAAUUCUUUGCAGCGCAAGUACGGAUGAAAUUCAAAAACCUCCGGACGUACUUCAUGAGGCAGUACCAUGAAGUUCAGAGAGCCCCUAGUGGAUCAGGAGAAGCCAUCAAGAAAAGUGGCCACUAUUUGAUUGUGCCACUUUUCUAAUUGACUUUGGUUUAGGAAACCACAACAGAGGCAAGCUUUGAACUCCCUUCAGAUAUGGUGGUGUUGACAGUUGGAGGGGAAAGUAGAGAUACUACCACCACAACUCUUCAAGAAGAUCAUGAUGAAUGCGAGAUCCUCCCUGGUUGCAGCAGCUUAUCAUAUUCAUCUGUGGCCAGCUGUACUUCACCUUUACAGCAAAGCUCUAUUCCUUCUGCA